Molecule: ribosomal RNA, 293 nt
Filed under: uncultured bacterium
Lineage: Bacteria
Description: partial 16S ribosomal RNA
Rfam family: Bacterial small subunit ribosomal RNA
Source: RNAcentral
GUGACAGCAGCCGCGGUAAUACAGAGGUGCCGAGCGUUAGGCGGAAUCACUGGGCUUAAAGCGCGUGUAGGCGGGUCGUUAAGUGUCCGCGUGAAAUCCCACGGCUCAACCGUGGAACUGCCGGGCAUACUGGCGACCUUGAGGCACUUAGGGGCGAGCGGAACAAAUGGUGGAGCGGUGAAAUGCGUAGAUAUCAUUUGGAACGCCGACGGUGAAAACAGCUCGCUGGGAGUGUCCUGACGCUGAGACGCGAAAGCCAGGGGAGCGAACGGGAUUAGAAACCCGUGUAGUCC